Molecule: ribosomal RNA, 908 nt
Filed under: Diplodia guayanensis
Lineage: Eukaryota; Fungi; Ascomycota; Dothideomycetes; Botryosphaeriales; Botryosphaeriaceae
Description: LSU rRNA
Rfam family: Eukaryotic large subunit ribosomal RNA
Source: RNAcentral
ACAUAUCAAUAAGCGGAGGAAAAGAAACCAACAGGGAUUGCCUUAGUAACGGCGAGUGAAGCGGCAACAGCUCAAAUUUGAAAGCUGGCCCUUUCAGGGUCCGCAUUGUAAUUUGUAGAGGAUGAUUCGGCGAGGGCUCCCGCCUAAGUCCCCUGGAACGGGGCGUCAUAGAGGGUGAGAAUCCCGUAUGCGGUGGGCUGCCUUAGCCAUGUGAAUCUCCUUCGACGAGUCGAGUUGUUUGGGAAUGCAGCUCUAAAUGGGAGGUAAAUUUCUUCUAAAGCUAAAUACCGGCCAGAGACCGAUAGCGCACAAGUAGAGUGAUCGAAAGAUGAAAAGCACUUUGGAAAGAGAGUUAAAAAGUACGUGAAAUUGUUGAAAGGGAAGCGCUUGCAACCAGACUUGUCCGCAGUUGCUCAGCCGGUCUCCUGACCGGCGUACUCUUCUGCGGCCAGGCCAGCAUCAGUUCGGGCGGUCGGAUAAAGACCUCGGGAAUGUAGCUCCUCUCGGGGAGUGUUAUAGCCCGGGGUGGAAUGCGGCCAGCCUGGACUGAGGAUCUCGCUUCGGCAAGGAUGCUGGCGUAAUGGUUGUAAGCGGCCCGUCUUGAAACACGGACCAAGGAGUCUAACAUCUAUGCGAGUGUUUGGGUGUCAAACCCAUACGCGUAAUGAAAGUGAACGGAGGUGGGAACCCGCAAGGGUGCACCAUCGGCCGAUCCUGAUGUCUUCGGAUGGAUUUGAGCAAGAGCAUAGCUGUUGGGACCCGAAAGAUGGUGAACUAUGCCUGAAUAGGGUGAAGCCAGAGGAAACUCUGGUGGAGGCUCGCAGCGGUUCUGACGUGCAAAUCGAUCGUCAAAUUUGGGUAUAGGGGCGAAAGACUAAUCGAACCAUCUAGUAGCUGGUUCCUGCCGA